GGUUAAGCGACUAAGCGUACACGGUGGAUGCCCUGGCAGUCAGAGGCGAUGAAGGACGUGCUAAUCUGCGAAAAGCGUCGGUAAGGUGAUAUGAACCGUUAUAGCCGGCGAUGUCCGAAUGGGGAAACCCAGUGCAAUUCGUUGCACUAUCGUUUGAUGAAUACAUAGUCAAACGAGGCGAACCGGGGGAACUGAAACAUCUAAGUACCCCGAGGAAAAGAAAUCAACCGAGAUUCCCCCAGUAGCGGCGAGCGAACGGGGAGCAGCCCGGAGUCUGAAUCAGCUUGUGUGUUAGUGGAAGCGUCUGGAAAGUCGCAGGGUACAGGGUGAUACUCCCGUACACUAAAACACACAGGCUGUGAACUCGAAGAGUAGGGCGGGACACGUGGUAUCCUGUCUGAAUAUGGGGGGACCAUCCUCCAAGGCUAAAUACUCCUGACUGACCGAUAGUGAACCAGUACCGUGAGGGAAAGGCGAAAAGAACCCCGGCGAGGGGAGUGAAAAAGAACCUGAAACCGUGUACGUACAAGCAGUAGGAGCCUCUUUAUGGGGUGACUGCGUACCUUUUGUAUAAUGGGUCAGCGACUUAUAUUCUGUAGCAAGGUUAACCGUAUAGGGGAGCCGCAGGGAAACCGAGUCUUAACUGGGCGUUAAGUUGCAGGGUAUAGACCCGAAACCCGGUGAUCUAGCCAUGGGCAGGUUGAAGGUUGGGUAACACUAACUGGAGGACCGAACCGACUAAUGUUGAAAAAUUAGCGGAUGACUUGUGGCUGGGGGUGAAAGGCCAAUCAAACCGGGAGAUAGCUGGUUCUCCCCGAAAGCUAUUUAGGUAGCGCCUCGUGAACUCAUCUUCGGGGGUAGAGCACUGUUUCGGCUAGGGGGUCAUCCCGACUUACCAACCCGAUGCAAACUACGAAUACCGAAGAAUGUUAUCACGGGAGACACACGGCGGGUGCUAACGUCCGUCGUGAAGAGGGAAACAACCCAGACCGCCAGCUAAGGUCCCAAAGUCAUGGUUAAGUGGGAAACGAUGUGGGAAGGCCCAGACAGCCAGGAUGUUGGCUUAGAAGCAGCCAUCAUUUAAAGAAAGCGUAAUAGCUCACUGGUCGAGUCGGCCUGCGCGGAAGAUGUAACGGGGCUAAACCAUGCACCGAAGCUGCGGCAGCGACACUAUGUGUUGUUGGGUAGGGGAGCGUUCUGUAAGCCGUUGAAGGUGGCCUGUGAGGGUUGCUGGAGGUAUCAGAAGUGCGAAUGCUGACAUAAGUAACGAUAAUGCGGGUGAAAAACCCGCACGCCGGAAGACCAAGGGUUCCUGUCCAACGUUAAUCGGGGCAGGGUGAGUCGACCCCUAAGGCGAGGCCGAAAGGCGUAGUCGAUGGGAAACAGGUUAAUAUUCCUGUACUCGGUGUUACUGCGAAGGGGGGACGGAGAAGGCUAUGUUGGCCGGGCGACGGUUGUCCCGGUUUAAGCAUGUAGGCGGAUGUUCCAGGUAAAUCCGGAACGUUACUAACGCUGAGGUGUGAUGACGAGGCACUACGGUGCUGAAGUGACAAAUGCCCUGCUUCCAGGAAAAGCCUCUAAGCAUCAGGUAACAUCAAAUCGUACCCCAAACCGACACAGGUGGUCAGGUAGAGAAUACCAAGGCGCUUGAGAGAACUCGGGUGAAGGAACUAGGCAAAAUGGUGCCGUAACUUCGGGAGAAGGCACGCUGAUAUGUAGGUGAAGUGGUUUACCCAUGGAGCUGAAAUCAGUCGAAGAUACCAGCUGGCUGCAACUGUUUAUUAAAAACACAGCACUGUGCAAACACGAAAGUGGACGUAUACGGUGUGACGCCUGCCCGGUGCCGGAAGGUUAAUUGAUGGGGUUAUCCGUAAGGAGAAGCUCUUGAUCGAAGCCCCGGUAAACGGCGGCCGUAACUAUAACGGUCCUAAGGUAGCGAAAUUCCUUGUCGGGUAAGUUCCGACCUGCACGAAUGGCGUAAUGAUGGCCAGGCUGUCUCCACCCGAGACUCAGUGAAAUUGAACUCGCUGUGAAGAUGCAGUGUACCCGCGGCAAGACGGAAAGACCCCGUGAACCUUUACUAUAGCUUGACACUGAACACUGGUCCUUGAUGUGUAGGAUAGGUGGGAGGCUUUGAAGUGUGGACGCCAGUCUGCAUGGAGCCAUCCUUGAAAUACCACCCUUUAAUGGCUGGUGUUCUAACGUGGGCCCGUUAUCCGGGUUGCGGACAGUGUCUGGUGGGUAGUUUGACUGGGGCGGUCUCCUCCUAAAGAGUAACGGAGGAGCACGAAGGUCAGCUAAUCCUGGUCGGACAUCAGGAGGUUAGUGCAAUGGCAUAAGCUGGCUUGACUGCGAGCGUGACGGCGCGAGCAGGUGCGAAAGCAGGUCAUAGUGAUCCGGUGGUUCUGAAUGGAAGGGCCAUCGCUCAACGGAUAAAAGGUACUCCGGGGAUAACAGGCUGAUACCGCCCAAGAGUUCAUAUCGACGGCGGUGUUUGGCACCUCGAUGUCGGCUCAUCACAUCCUGGGGCUGAAGUAGGUCCCAAGGGUAUGGCUGUUCGCCAUUUAAAGUGGUACGCGAGCUGGGUUUAGAACGUCGUGAGACAGUUCGGUCCCUAUCUGCCGUGGGCGCUGGAGAAUUGAGGGGGGCUGCUCCUAGUACGAGAGGACCGGAGUGGACGCAUCACUGGUGUUCGGGUUGUCAUGCCAAUGGCAUUGCCCGGUAGCUAAAUGCGGAAGAGAUAAGUGCUGAAAGCAUCUAAGCACGAAACUUGCCCCGAGAUGAGUUCUCCCUGACUCCUUGAGAGUCCUGAAGGAACGUUGAAGACGACGACGUUGAUAGGCCGGGUGUGUAAGCGCAGCGAUGCGUUGAGCUAACCGGUACUAAUGAACCGUGAGGCUUAACCUU
This 2907-nucleotide ribosomal RNA is filed under the name Klebsiella grimontii. RNAcentral's name for it is "23S ribosomal RNA". It matches the Rfam family "Bacterial large subunit ribosomal RNA". The record is from RNAcentral. Lineage: Bacteria; Pseudomonadati; Pseudomonadota; Gammaproteobacteria; Enterobacterales; Enterobacteriaceae.